Molecule: ribosomal RNA, 375 nt
Filed under: uncultured organism
Description: partial 16S ribosomal RNA
Rfam family: Bacterial small subunit ribosomal RNA
Source: RNAcentral
GUAGGUGGCAAGCGUUGUCCGGGAAUUAUUGGGGCGUAAAGCGCGCGCAGGCGGUUCUUUAAGUCUGAUGUGAAAGCCCACGGGCUCAACCGUGGAGGGUCAUUGGAAACUGGAGAACUUGAGUACAGAAGAGGAAAGCGGAAUUCCACGUGUAGCGGUGAAAUGCGUAGAGAUGUGGAGGAACACCAGUGGCGAAGGCGGCUUUCUGGUCUGUAACUGACGCUGAGGCGCGAAAGCGUGGGGAGCAAACAGGAUUAGAUACCCUGGUAGUCCACGCCGUAAACGAUGAGUGCUAAGUGUUAGUGGGUUUCCGCCCCUUAGUGCUGCAGCUAACGCAUUAAGCACUCCGCCUGGGGAGUACGGCCGCAAAGGCUG